RNAcentral lists this ribosomal RNA (681 nucleotides) under Burkholderia cenocepacia. RNAcentral describes it as "bacterial SSU rRNA". It matches the Rfam family "Bacterial small subunit ribosomal RNA", at positions 200 to 867 of the family's 1533-position model. Lineage: Bacteria; Pseudomonadati; Pseudomonadota; Betaproteobacteria; Burkholderiales; Burkholderiaceae. The record is from RNAcentral.
GAUGAAGCGGGGACCUUCGGGCCUCGCGCUAUAGGGUUGGCCGAUGGCUGAUUAGCUAGUUGGAUGGGUAAGGCCUACCAAGGCGACGAUCAGUAGCUGGUCUGAGAGGACGACCAGCCACACUGGGACUGAGACACGGCCCAGACUCCUACGGGAGGCAGCAGUGGGGAAUUUUGGACAAUGGGCGAAAGCCUGAUCCAGCAAUGCCGCGUGUGUGAAGAAGGCCUUCGGGUUGUAAAGCACUUUUGUCCGGAAAGAAAUCCUUGGCUCUAAUACAGUCGGGGGAUGACGGUACCGGAAGAAUAAGCACCGGCUAACUACGUGCCAGCAGCCGCGGUAAUACGUAGGGUGCAAGCGUUAAUCGGAAUUACUGGGCGUAAAGCGUGCGCAGGCGGUUUGCUAAGACCGAUGUGAAAUCCCGGGCUCAACCUGGGAACUGCAUUGGUGACUGGCAGGCUAGAGUAUGGCAGAGGGGGUAGAAUUCCACGUGUAGCAGUGAAAUGCGUAGAGAUGUGGAGGAAUACCGAUGGCGAAGGCAGCCCCUGGGCCAAUACUGACGCUCAUGCACGAAAGCGUGGGAGCAAACAGGAUUAGAGUACCUGGUAGACUCCACGCCCUAAACGAUGUCAACUAGUUGUUGGGGAUUCAUUUCCUUAGUAACGUAGCUAACGCGUGAAGUUG